UCCGAUUUGGUGAGGUAAAGGCUCACCAAGGCGACGAUCUGUAGCUGGUCUGAGAGGACGACCAGCCACACUGGAACUGAGACACGGUCCAGACUCCUACGGGAGGCAGCAGUGGGGAAUUUUGGACAAUGGGCGCAAGCCUGAUCCAGCAAUGCCGCGUGCAGGAUGAAGGCCUUCGGGUUGUAAACUGCUUUUGUACGGAGCGAAAAGGUUCUCUCUAAUAAAGAGGGCUCAUGACGGUACCGUAAGAAUAAGCACCGGCUAACUACGUGCCAGCAGCCGCGGUAAUACGUAGGGUGCGAGCGUUAAUCGGAAUUACUGGGCGUAAAGCGUGCGCAGGCGGUGAUGUAAGACAGAUGUGAAAUCCCCGGGCUCAACCUGGGACCUGCAUUUGUGACUGCAUUGCUAGAGUACGGUAGAGGGGGAUGGAAUUCCGCGUGUAGCAGUGAAAUGUGUAGAUAUGCGGAGGAACACCGAUGGCGAAGGCAAUCCCCUGGACCUGUACUGACGCUCAUGCACGAAAGCGUGGGGAGCAAACAGGAUUAGAUACCCUGGUAGUCCACGCCCUAAACGAUGUCAACUGGUUGUUGGGUCUUUGCUGACUCAGUAACGAAGCUAACGCGUGAAGUGACCGC
Molecule: ribosomal RNA, 635 nt
Filed under: uncultured beta proteobacterium
Lineage: Bacteria; Pseudomonadati; Pseudomonadota; Betaproteobacteria
Description: bacterial SSU rRNA
Rfam family: Bacterial small subunit ribosomal RNA
Source: RNAcentral